Molecule: unclassified non-coding RNA, 313 nt
Filed under: Hevea brasiliensis (rubber tree)
Lineage: Eukaryota; Viridiplantae; Streptophyta; Magnoliopsida; Malpighiales; Euphorbiaceae
Source: RNAcentral
UUCACCUGGAAAACUAGAAGAAAUGGAUUUUCAAAGCCCUAAUUGAAGACAUCUAUCAUGUGCAGUGACUGGAUCAUACAACUCACCAGCUCUGCACACACUAAAGGAUAGCACAAAGGAGAAGAAGCUAAUGGCGGACAUCUUGGUCACCCUUUAAAUAAUAUAUAUGCACAACUCUACCAACGAGACAUCAUAAAUAAAGCUGCCAACAGAGAUGGAAUAAGCAAGACACGUGUACGAACCCUUUUUGAGCAUCUCAUCUGAAACAUUACCGACUAAUACUGCCUAAUUUCUGUAUUUGUGCACCGUCUAG